UAAUCGGAUGUUGCUUUUUGGAUUCAAAUAGACAUGUUAAAACACCAAAGAUAUCUUGCUGGGUUGCCAAUGUCAUUGCCUUGUCGGCUUGUUUUGUAUGUGCCGUGGUCCAAGCUCCAACACCAUGUUCCUGUCAUUCUCCUACCAGAAUUUCAAUACGAAGAGAUUGUCACCAGAUGGUUAUUGUCCACAGUCCCUCUUUCCCCCAUAGGAUAUUCACCAACCAAUGAAAUUGGCCAAAUUUUGGAAUCCUAUCCAUGAUUGAACAAGGCUCGAUCAACCUAUAUUUUUCUUCAGUCAAAAUAGAGCUUUAGUAAGCCCCCAAAAGUGAAACUAACCAAGAAAUUAUAACAAGAGUCGAUACAAAAGCAAACACCAACACAAUAGACACAACACUGUCCAAAGAUAAACCAGCACCCCCUCAACCAGCUUAUAUUCGAGCAAAUAACGAAUUGAAAUGUUCCAUGUAUGGUAAUUAAUCAAGUUAGUUCGUGGGCCAAAAGGAUAUGUUUUGGAGUUGUGGCGUACUUGAUUCUCCUUCAUUCUUCGGCCAUUGACGAUUCUAAAGGUAAGUUCUGUAAAAGUCUCGUAAGGAAUUUAAUCACAAGUUUAUUUAAUAGUUUCAUAGGACAGUUUUCUAUGUUAUCUUUUGAUUUAUUUCGUUUUGUUUAUCUACAUAUCCAAAACAAGUGGGCCUAGAUCCAAAGACAAUACAUACUAGUUGCAAGAUGGCCAAUCAUGCAAUAACUCACAUACUUGUUGAAGUUAAAAUUGUUAAAAAAUAUGGACAUCACAUAUAUAAUAAGGGUAAUUACAUGUUAUUAUUUGCUAUCAUGAUAGGUUAGUCUAAAUUAAAAGUAGUCUAAUUUAGUUAAAGUUUAUUGGGUUUUAAUUAUUAAAUAAAGCAUGGGUCAAAUAUGUGUAGAUACUCUAGUAAUUAAUUUCUAAUUGAUGAUGGGCUAAUUAGAAAUUAGAGCUAAUGUGCCAAAGUUAUAUAUAUUAGGGUUAUGGUCCCUAAAUUACACACAAGCUAACUUUUCUAAUAUCUCAAUCUUUAGAAAAGAGAGAGUCACCUUCUCUAAAUUACUUGUGUACUCAUUUGGAAUAUCAAAACCCCAAGAUCUGUAGAUUUCAAGAAAUCGAUGAAUUCAAGUACACUUUCGCAGCUAGUUUUGUUCUUGAUUUAUUCUUGAUAAAUUUGACAUGAUAGGUCCUGGUUUACAAUUUUAAUUUUAUGUUAGAUAUUAUUUAAAAAUCUAAUAAGCGGUAUCAAAACCCCGUCAUGUUAAAUCAUUGAGAAAGAAUUGGUUCUCUAUUAAUUUGAAUUGAUUCGAUUUUCAGAUUUUAUAGAUCUAAUAUUUCAAUUAUAUACCAAUUCAUAUAUUGAUUUACACUAUUAGUUUAGUUUUUCGUUUGGUACUAUAACAAUUCAAUUGAAAAUUCAAAUGCAGUUUAGGUGAUUUUUUUAUUUUUUUUAUUUUUUGCUUUGAAAAGACGAAGCAAUUUUCUGUUUACAUGGGUUAUCAAUUAAGCAUACGAGUUUUUGUUUUUUUUUGCGGUUUUUUAUUUGAUUAAUCUAUAUAUAUAUUAUUAUAUAAUUUUUAAAUGGGUUAUCAAUUUUUUGAUUUGAUGAUAUGGUUUAUUAUAUGAAUUGUGAGAUAUGCCAAUUAUUAUAAUUUUAUUUUUUAGAUUUAUUUGUUUGAAAAUAUUUUUUAAGUAUUCAUGUGAAUCUUUGUUUAAUUAUAAAUACAACUUUGGAUUUACAUGGUAUAUUCAGGGUAAGUUUUUCUAUUUGAUUAUAAAUACAUGUAUAUGCGUGAAUUGCUUUGGUGUUUUUGUCUAUGCCAAAAUUAUAAAUACAUGUGCUUGUUAAUUAUUUGGCUUUAAACCAUUACAUUAUUUCUAUUUGGUUUUGAUAUAUAUGGUUUUGGGGAAAAAAAAGUAAAAGAUUAAGGUUUUUGAUUUUUUUUAUUGCAUUAUUAAGAUAACCUUAUUUUGGGUUAUUUCGGAGUCUAUAAAGUAAUAAAAAAAUAGUUUUGACAUUUGACUACUGGAGAGAUUUUAAAUUUGAAUAUUGGUAUGUUUAUAUAUAUAUAUUAAAAUAACUUAAUUGAAGCAAUAAAUUACCAAAGUAAUUUUUUUUGUAUAAAUUGUUUCGUUUUAAAAUAUAAAAGGUUGUGUGCAUGUAACUUAAGUUAUGUUAAUAUUGAUUGGUCCAAAUGAAGGUUUAUAAUAUUACAUGAGCAACUAUGGUAAUAAACAUAUGACAAUUAUUCGGUUUUACAUGUGAGCAAUAAAUUAGCCCAAAGGAAGAUUUAUGGUUCGGCAUGUUCUUAUUGUCAAUGUUUGAUUAUUACACCAAGAUAUCACUUACAAGUUAUUAUUUUGUCCAAAGAUGAAAUAUUAAUGGAGUGUCUGAUAUCUUGAGAUGAAGUUUACCUUUAUUCAAAUUAUUUUGAUUUAAAUUUGAAGUCUUAUGUGAAGUUGUUUAUGGUUUAUGAUUUAUUCAACUAUUAUUAUAUUUGUCAACAUCAUUGUAUGUUGUUUUGGGAUAAAUAUAUUUUCAUAUAUAUACUAUUAUAUUUUAAUUUGAUUGAAAGAUGAAAUAUUUUGAAACAAAUAAAUGCAGAUUUUGGCUUUAGGUUUUAAUUAAGGAUGUCUAAUAUUUUAAAUAGAUUAGUUGAAACAAAAUGCCGCCAAAGUGGCCUCUUUUGUGUAGAUUAGUUUAUUUAAAAUAUCUAGAUGAUUAUAUGUUUUUGUGAUUCAUGCGUUUAUUAAUUGACCCAAAGAUAAGUUAAUAUUUGGAAGAAUUUCUACGACAUCUAUAGUGAUAAAUGUGUGACAAUUAUAAGGUAAUUUAUGUGAACAAUAAGUUAGUCCAAAGAUUAAUUCAUUAUUUGACAUAAUUUAUUGUCAAUGUUUGAUUGUUGUAAUAAGAGUAUCGUUUACUGUUAAUAUUACUGUCCAAAGACUUGAUAUUAAUGUUGUAUUUAGUAUCUUGUGAUGCGAUUAGUCAUUAUCUUAAAUUUAUUAUUUACUUAUGAAUAUUUAUUUGAACAUGUUUUUAUUUGUUUUUGUUCUAUAUUCAGCUAGUUCAUCUUCUACUACCACAAUAUCUGCUAAUAUAAAUUUUAUACCCAUGCUUAAUGGGACUAAUUUUAAGAAAUGAAAAAGGCACUUACUUAUAGUGUUUGGUUGUAUGGACAUAGACCUUGCACUAAGGGAAGAACAACUUGCACCUCUCACUGCAAAAAACACCCUUGAUGUUUUGCACCCUUGAUGUUAAGAGGGAUUUUGAGAGAUGGGAUCUUUCAAAUCGCAUGAGUCUAAUGAUCAUGAAACACAACAUUCCAAAAGCCUUUAGGGGCACAGAAUCUGAAAAGAUUACUUAAGCCAAGGGUUUCCUUGGUGAAAUUGAGAAAUGUUUUGCUAAAAAUGAUAAGGUUGAGAUGAAAAUAUUUCUGAACUCUUUGAUGUCUAUAAAGUAUAAAGGUCAAGGAAACAUGAGGGAGUACAUUAUGGUGAUGUUUCAUGUUGCCUCAAGACUUAAGGCACUUAAGAUCGAGCUUUUUGAGGAAUUGUUUUUUUCUUAUGGUUUUGGUAUCGCUUCCUGCAUGGUUUAACCAAAUUAAAAUUGGUUACAUCUGUCAAUAGGAGAAAUGGACUCUGUAACAACCCGAUUUAGGGGCUAGAUGGAACAGUGGUUUCGGGACCACAAAUCUGACAAGGAAAAAAUUUAUUUUAAAAUUAUGACAUGGGUUGCAUUAUGAUAGGAAGGUUGCAUGAAAAUACUGAUAUGGUAAAUAAGGAAAUAAAGUGAUAAAAAGGGUAAUUGAGUUAUGUCAACAUUGGAAAGUAUAUUAUGACAUUGAUCCAAGAAAGGAUUAAAUUGCAAAAGUGAGAAAAGUUUUGUUACCCAAGAGUAAAUACUCAAAAAUUGAGGGGUUAAAGUGUAAAUAUGAAAAGUUAAAGGACCAAUAGUAUAAAUAUUUUAAGGGUGGAAUAAUCUAGAAACUAAGGAAGAUGGAUGAAUUGGGACCAAAUUGAAUAGAUGAAGGAAUUAUGAAGGACUAAAUUGUAAUUUUACCAAAUUAAGUGAUGACUCAAUGAUGAAAUUUUAAAAGAACAUAAAGGGCAAAAUGGUCAAUUAGAAGAGAGAGAAAUCUAGAAGGCAAUGAUGAUGUUGGUGAUAUUUUAGACUAAUUAAUUAAUUAAAUAUUAGUUUAUUAAUAUUUUAAUUUGAUUUUUAUUAUUAUUUUAUUAUUAAUCUAAUUAGUAUAUAUAUGUGGAAAGAAAGAUGAAAAGCAACCAUUCCACCAUCUUUCCAUGCAUUUCACGUUAGAAGGGAAAGGAAGAAAGAAAAUUUUGCUUCCUUUACAAUUUGGUCAUUUUACCAAAACUUUAUCAUUUUCACCUAGAAAUCAAAAGAAUUUUCAUAUCCAUCAAGAGAGAAAGACAACAAGGAGACUAUCGGGAGCUAGAAUAUCAAUUUAGAUUCAAGAAAUAGAAGCUGAAGGAGAGAGAAAAGCAAGUUAAAGAUUGAAAUCAAUAGCACAAGGUAAGAACAUCAAGAUUUUUAUGUACUUUUGAGUUUGAUAUUAUUGAAAAUAGCAUGGAAAAGAUGCUAUAGUAGAGUUUUCUUAUAUAAAGUCUUAUGUUCUUAAUAUAUUAGUGAAGAGAAAUAAGUGAAAGUGAUGGGAAAUAUUAUAGAGAAAGGGAAUAAGGAAGUUAUAAAUUUAGUAAUUAACAUGUUGCACUAAAACAGUUUUGGGCAGCAGCAAUAGGUUAACUUUGAAAAAUCACCAUAAAUUGUGGAAAAGAAAUUAGAGGAUGAAAAAAUAUGAAAUUAAAUCCUAUUGAGUCUAGUUUCUCAUAGAAGAAACAGUGUAAGCAAUAGUAUUGUAAAUUAUGAGAUAUAAUAGGUUUUGUGAGAUAAGGUCAGAAUAAUUUCGGGUUCCCCUGUUUUGACUUUGGAAAAUAAUCAAAAAUUGGAGAAAAAUAAUUAGAGGUUUAAAUUUAUAUGUUUAAAUCCUUAAUGAUUCUAUUUUCAAUAAAAACAAAUGGUAACAUCAUUUGAAUUCUGUAUGAAGAGAUAAUUAAGUUUUAGUGAAGAAGGGUCGGAACUGUCAGACAGCAGAACAGGGAUGACUUUAGAGAAUAAACUGUACUUAUUGGCUAAACCAAAAAUUCUGAAAAUUUUAUGGUAAGAAUAUAUGUGAGUCUAGUUUCAUAGAAAAUUAACAGACCUCAAUUUGGAGUUCUGUAGCUCAAGAUAUAAAUAAUUUAGUGACUAUGACUCAAGUGGACAGCUUUGAAUGAAUAUAAAUACAUGUGAAAUUAUAGAUAAUGUUACAUAUAAGCAUG
RNAcentral lists this long non-coding RNA (5364 nucleotides) under Gossypium barbadense (sea-island cotton). RNAcentral's name for it is "long non-coding RNA (GBAR_LNC014687)". Lineage: Eukaryota; Viridiplantae; Streptophyta; Magnoliopsida; Malvales; Malvaceae. The record is from RNAcentral.